This 800-nucleotide ribosomal RNA is filed under the name Halomonas sp. RNAcentral's name for it is "bacterial SSU rRNA". It matches the Rfam family "Bacterial small subunit ribosomal RNA", at positions 51 to 849 of the family's 1533-position model. The record is from RNAcentral. Lineage: Bacteria; Pseudomonadati; Pseudomonadota; Gammaproteobacteria; Oceanospirillales; Halomonadaceae.
ACACAUGCAGUCGAGCGGUAACAGAUCCAGCUUGCUGGAUGCUGACGAGCGGCGGACGGGUGAGUAAUGCAUAGGAAUCUGCCCGAUAGUGGGGGAUAACCUGGGGAAACCCAGGCUAAUACCGCAUACGUCCUACGGGAGAAAGGGGGCUCCGGCUCCCGCUAUGGGAUGAGCCUAUGUCGGAUUAGCUAGUUGGUGAGGUAACGGCUCACCAAGGCCACGAUCCGUAGCUGGUCUGAGAGGAUGAUCAGCCACAUCGGGACUGAGACACGGCCCGAACUCCUACGGGAGGCAGCAGUGGGGAAUAUUGGACAAUGGGGGCAACCCUGAUCCAGCCAUGCCGCGUGUGUGAAGAAGGCCCUCGGGUUGUAAAGCACUUUCAGCGAGGAAGAACGCCUGUCGGUUAAUACCCGGUAGGAAAGACAUCACUCGCAGAAGAAGCACCGGCUAACUCCGUGCCAGCAGCCGCGGUAAUACGGAGGGUGCAAGCGUUAAUCGGAAUUACUGGGCGUAAAGCGCGCGUAGGUGGCUUGAUAAGCCGGUUGUGAAAGCCCCGGGCUCAACCUGGGAACGGCAUCCGGAACUGUCAAGCUAGAGUGCAGGAGAGGAAGGUAGAAUUCCCGGUGUAGCGGUGAAAUGCGUAGAGAUCGGGAGGAAUACCAGUGGCGAAGGCGGCCUUCUGGACUGACACUGACACUGAGGUGCGAAAGCGUGGGUAGCAAACAGGAUUAGAUACCCUGGUAGUCCACGCCGUAAACGAUGUCGACCAGCCGUUGGGUGCCUAGCGCACUUUGUGGCGA